RNAcentral lists this long non-coding RNA (297 nucleotides) under Elaeis guineensis (African oil palm). RNAcentral's name for it is "long non-coding RNA (EGUI_LNC025135)". Lineage: Eukaryota; Viridiplantae; Streptophyta; Magnoliopsida; Arecales; Arecaceae. The record is from RNAcentral.
AUUCUCUUCUUUUUCUAUCUGUCCAACUCUUCUGUCUAUCCUGUGCUGCUUUGAAUCUUUCCUUGAUCAGAUAGAUUUUCUCUCUAGCAUCCAUCUAUUAUCAGUAAAAUCCUUCCUUAUUUACAACUAACGUAUUUCAUAAUAUCUUUUGAUUUAAAGGAUUAAUAUUUCUAAUCAAUUCAGACCAUCACGCUUUUGCUGCGCACUCUGAUCUCAACUUACCAAAUUAUCUAAGUCUAUCAAAAAUAUCUUUGUAUGUUAAAUCAAUCAAAGAUAGAUCCAACUUUCAGAUUUCAU